UUAAAACUGCCAUUAAAUUCGCAAAAAAUGUAGUAUUGGCAUUUCCUAUCAAAUCGGUUGUGUGUUUUCUCUUUCACGUAGUUGGUGGAAUUUUUUUGAAUUUUUUAGUCUUCAAAACCUACGAACAAGUAAUUUCUAAUAGAAACGUGGUAACAAAAAUUAAUUUCUUUGUUUGAAAAGAAACAAUUGCACGUAUUUUUCUCCUUAGAAUAUUAAUUUAAUUUAUUUAUUCUUCACAAUGCCACAUCUCUCCACGUGUGUACAACAACAACUAAAAAACUAAAUGUAUUCAUUUCUCGACUCUCUCGUCUUAGCUUUUUGUGAAAGCAUCGGAAAUGUGGUGCCUCGGAUAUUUGUCAACCUCUAUAGGAACUAUAGGACUAUAGGAACGAACUCGGUGGAUUGGAGAUUUAUAGAUGAGUCCCGAGAACAGCUCUAAUGCUCAGCUACAAUGCUCUAUAAGCCAUGUAGGAUUUGAGAAGGCAAACACGGAUCAACGAUCGGCAUAGGACGGACGCAUUCAAGGAACAACACAAGGAGUCCACGAGGAGAUGUUGCGACUUCGCGAAGAUUUUAUUAAUUUAACUUUUUUUUGGAAAUUUUUGUAUUUUUUCAAUCUUUUUUAUCCUUUCUGCAUAGCAAAUUGCAAUUUGCAAUUUGCAACGAUCGGACAACAGGUAAUUCUGAGUUUGAAAAAUUGUUGGGCGCAUGUGAAACAGAAAUUCUUUUGUGCUGCUGCUACAUAUUAGAUUUUCUGUACUGCUAUUAGAACUUCUGCUAUUAGAGCAAAUCUCUCAUUAGAGCAAUUUUAGUUUGAGAGCUCAGAUUAGGUAGGGGCAACGAGUACUUGGGUGGCUUGUCAUUUGGCAAGUUUGCUCUUGCGGUUUGCAACCUUCUGCUCAUAGAGCAACUAUCUUUUUAGAGAAAUUAUAGUUUACGAGUUUAUGAUAGGUAGGUGCAACGAGUACUUGGGUGGCUUGUCAUUUGGCAAGUUUGCUCUUGCGGUUUGCAAUCUUCUGCUAUUAGGGCAACUAUCUUUUUAGGGUAAUUAUAGUUUUUGAUAUCAUUUUAUUUAUGGUUUCAAAUUUGUGAACAGUCCGCCACCUUUCAAUUUGAUAAGAAUGAUUGUGGUUUUAACUGUGUCAACUGAAAAACGCAAAUUAAAACAGUAUACUUUCUAUCAGAAGAAGUUUAACAUUGGUUCAAUUCUUUGGAACUAAAAAGAAUUAGUACAUUGCUAGAAAAAUAUAGAAAAAUUUCCAUUUGCAAGGCAAUUUUCUGAAAAAACACUGUUGGUCGAAAAAAGAAAAAAUCAAUAACCAUUACGACGACCUCUCAAAACUCCUGAUUUUGAAAGAUUUAGGGUUCAAAAAGAUUGAAAAGAGCGUUUGUUGAAAGUUAAUGUUCAAAAAAAAACCGAGAAAUAUUAUCAACUUUACACGACUUCUUUUUCGACUGGGCAUGUCUGUAAUUUCUUUUUUGCAUGGCGGAAAUCUCUCGCUUUGUAGAUAAAAAUAAUAAAAGGUGAUACUUAAAGAAUACUUCAAUGCAAGUAUCCUAACUAGUAUAUUUCCAGCUUUGUGCUAUUUAUGCUGAUCAAACAAGCCAAUUUCAAGAAUCUACUGCAAUCGAAUUAAUACUCAUAUUGUUCGUGUUUGAUAUAAUUGUGACACCUUUAUUGAUUCAGCUAACCUAUUUGGGAUGCAAUAUAUUUGGUUUUAUGUCAAAGUUAAAAAAGAUUGCAAAUAGAAUUUGUAAUAAAACUGAUAAUGUUGUGGAGCCGCAGAGAUUUUAAAUAAUAAAUGUAGAAUAGCAAACAUAUUUGAAUGAAGUAUUUAUUUCG
Caenorhabditis elegans is the source of this 1843-nucleotide long non-coding RNA. Ensembl annotates it as ncRNA. Its record names the gene linc-89. The record is from Ensembl. NCBI's taxonomy places the organism in Eukaryota, Metazoa, Nematoda, Chromadorea, Rhabditida, Rhabditidae.